This 388-nucleotide ribosomal RNA is filed under the name uncultured soil bacterium. Its description in RNAcentral is "bacterial SSU rRNA". It matches the Rfam family "Bacterial small subunit ribosomal RNA", at positions 26 to 402 of the family's 1533-position model. The record is from RNAcentral.
AGAGCGAACGCUGGCGGCGUGCCUAACACAUGCAAGUCGAACGUGAAAUGGGGCAACCCAAAGUAAAGUGGCGCACGGGUGAGUAACGCGUAGGUAAUCUACCUGAUUGUUCGGAAUAACCUGCCGAAAGGCGGGCUAAUACUGGAUAGAGCGAGGAACACGUAAGGUGUUUUUCGGGAAAGGGGGCUUUUCAAAAAGCUCUCGCAAUCGGAUGAGCCUGCGUCUCAUUAGCUAGUUGGUGAGGUAAUGGCUCACCAAGGCUGUGAUGAGUAGCUGGUCUAAGAGGAUGAUCAGCCACACUGGAACUGAAACACGGUCCAGACUCCUACGGGAGCAGCAGUGGGGAAUCUUGCGCAAUGGACGAAAGUCUGACGCAGCCACGCCGCGU